GUGUGUCCUAACUUGGUCAGAUGGAGCAUGAUAGCCUCGGAAUAGUAAGCGUUUCCUAAGAGGAAGGCACUUCCAGGAAUAGAGUUCCCUAAUACCAUGUAUUUAAUGGUGGUUACAUCAUUACUCAUGACGCUGCCUCAUCUACUGUGCAUCUGUACAUACUGGCUUCCAUUGAUUCUCUCAAAGUUGCUACUGUGCUUUGUUGAUGAUGACCACAAUCCCAGAUCUUACCUGGAGCCUGCAGAAAAAUGUGAAUGAUGAGCAACCUGGAGCUUAGAGAGGAUCGGUAACCUGAGCAGCACGGGCAAGCCGAGUGAGAAAACCAGCAUCCAAGCGCGGCUGUGCCCGACCCCCACGCCACGGCCGUUCCGCCCCACUGCGCCUCCCAGGCUUCCGAACUGCACUCAGUCUCGCUUCCCACUUCCCACACUGUUGAUUGACACUGUGAACAAGCU
Molecule: long non-coding RNA, 455 nt
Organism: Hipposideros armiger (great roundleaf bat)
Lineage: Eukaryota; Metazoa; Chordata; Mammalia; Chiroptera; Hipposideridae
Exons: 3
Source: RefSeq, a predicted model, not a curated record